UAAUGCAUCGGAACAUGUCCAGGUUCGUGGGGGAUAGCCCGGCGAAAGCCGGAUUAAUACCGCAUACGCCCCGAGGGGGAAAGCGGGGGACUUCGCAAGAGGCCUCGCGCGAAUGGGUUGGCCGAUGUCCGAUUAGCUAGUUGGUGGGGUAAAGGCUUACCAAGGCGAUGAUCGGUAGCUGGUCUGAGAGGAUGAUCAGCCACACUGGGACUGAGACACGGCCCAG
This 226-nucleotide ribosomal RNA is filed under the name uncultured bacterium. RNAcentral's name for it is "partial 16S ribosomal RNA". It matches the Rfam family "Bacterial small subunit ribosomal RNA", at positions 111 to 334 of the family's 1533-position model. The record is from RNAcentral.